CUUCAUUCUUUUUUAAACAUCUGGAACAAGGUUCAAGAAAAGUGGAGUAAAGCCAUGGCACUAGCACUUUCGAUAAAGACCUAUGAACAACCUAAGACAACUGUGGAUGAAGUUAUGGCAGUGAAGAUUGGAUUGGAAAUCGGGUCACAAUAGGACAGAGCACACCUGGAGUUUGUUUAACAUCUGGAUCAGAACAAAAAUGUUAUCUGUUAGACUUGCGCUGUGAAGAAGAUGAGAAUGGAUGUGACCUCUUCCUGGGACAGAUGACAGAUUGUCAAUGAUUUUCUUUGGAUUAUUGGCCAAGGUUUGGCAGCCCGGAGAUUUUUUUGGAGGUAAAUACAGAUCCACAUUUAAUACAACGCAGGGAAAAAGUAGAAUCAGGCAUAAUAUUGAGUGUGAAUGA
Molecule: long non-coding RNA, 403 nt
Filed under: Sarcophilus harrisii (Tasmanian devil)
Lineage: Eukaryota; Metazoa; Chordata; Mammalia; Dasyuromorphia; Dasyuridae
Description: lncRNA (ENSSHAG00000028125.1)
Source: RNAcentral